Molecule: RNA transcript, 2226 nt
Organism: Oncorhynchus tshawytscha (Chinook salmon)
Lineage: Eukaryota; Metazoa; Chordata; Actinopteri; Salmoniformes; Salmonidae
Gene: gra
Gene name: granulito
Exons: 7
Source: RefSeq, a predicted model, not a curated record
UGGCAUAAACAUGAACUUUACUACAUACUGACACGCCAAUUACAUUUAUUUAAAUCAUUAUUGUCAAUGAUCAUGUUUCUGUAACACAAAUGUAUAUUUAAGCAAUAAGGCCAGAUAACUGAACAGACAGAUUUGCCUUGGAAAAUGUGCAGCAGAACUUUUAAGUUAUUUUAUCAAACGAGUAUUGUAACGGUGAACAUACCGAUACUUGGACGAUAAAGCAUGAUGAUGCUGAAUAAUGAUAUUCUAAGAAUUUGUUCUGCACGGAUUUCAAUAGGGAAAGAUUGCGUCCGUAACCCGUUCGUCUCCGCUCGCGUGUAUUGCGUUCGAAACGUUGCUUAGCUGCGCGUCUGGUGUUGAACCUUUGUGACCACAGCAGAAACGGCACCUCAUCACUGUGGCAUCUCUCGGAAGGGAAAGGCACGCCUGUGUCGCCGAACAGGAUGGAGGUGUCAAGGAGGCGGAUCUUACAGAAGCACCUGCAGCCAGCCAGACCACUGCGGCGCUGCAGUACUGACCAGGUCGAUGAGGGGAAGUGAGUGAGUGAGUGCACACUUCAAAGAGAAGGGUAGAGAAUCCAACUGCAGCCAGUGUCCCACUUUCUCUUUAUACAGACCCCUGCUUUAGAAAUGAGCCAUCUGCGUGUGGACAAGCUGGAGAAAAAACAAUUAACAGCAUUGGAGUGGAACAGUUUUUUGAAAUCCUCCAUCUCCAUACGCAGACACCACAAAAAGACUCCACCCCAACUAAAGUGAGGAUAUCUUACACUAGAGACUUCCUGAUUCAACUGGCCAGUUCCCCCAUUGCCAAAAGAAAACCGGAGUUCUUACCAGAACAUCCUGUUGUUUUGGAAAAGGCGAGAGAACCUGGUGUGCCAUGGUUGGAGAAGAGGUUUGAUGGAAACAAUGAAAUGCUUGCCUAGGCUAACAUGGAGCCAGGAAAUCUGGUUGCUGCUGCUGCUUUUCAAACCACACACCACUACAACUUGCUCUGCCAUUGAGUGAUAUACCAACAACAACAAAAAAAUCCCAGUUGAGCCUAGAACACCACAGGCAUGGGAUGCGUCCCAAAUAGCACCCUAUGUCCUAUUUAGUGCACUACUUUUGACCAGGGUCGAUAGGAUUCAGAUCAUAAACAGCCAUGACCAUGAGAGUUGUAAGCGAGAGGUAUAUCUUCUUUUUUUUUUGUUCCUUUGACAAAUGUUGGUUCCUUUGGUGGACACAAACCUGAAAAUGUACCGUAGCCUACAUGUUUUAAAUUGUGUGUUUCAGUCUAAAAUAAUAAUGCGUGGUUGAAUGAUGUGCCUUGAUGCUAACAAAUGCCCCUUGCACUGUGUGAUGUUUACAUAUGGCAUAAUACUAAUAACGCCUCAGUGGAGACCAUUGACUCUGAGUAACCGUACAACGACCUCCCAAGACCAACACUACAUUCAUUUAACCCUUUAACUUUUUCAUAUGUUGGAGUAUGGGUGUUUUAGGUUUGAUAUUGUCACUGAAGAUUGAUUAUUGACUUAUAUCAACUAGUUGAAUGUUGAUGUAUAGGCCUGCUCCAUAACUUGUCUGUGUUCCCCCAUUGAAAACUGUUGCUUGAAAUGAUUCGGCUUCUAAGCCUGCCUUUGCACACUAUCCUUCUGAGGGUCAGUCCUCUAGUCACAUCAAAUAGUACAUCUCUCCCCCACUCCUCUGAGGGUCAGUCCUGUAGUCACAUCAAAUAAUACAUCUCUCCCCCACUCCUCUGAGGGUCAGUCCUGUAGUCACAUCAAAUAGUACAUCUCUCCCCCACUCCUCUGAGGGUCAGUCCUGUAGUCACAUCAAAUAAUACAUCUCUCCCCCACUCCUCUGAGGGUCAGUCCUGUAGUCACAUCAAAUAGUACAUCUCUCCCCCACUUCUCUGAGGGUCAGUCCUGUAGUCACAUCAAAUAGUACAUCUCUCCCCCACUCCUCUGAGGGUCAGUCCUGUAGUCACAUCAAAUAAUACAUCUCUCCCCCACUCCUCUGAGGGUCAGUCCUGUAGUCACAUCAAAUAGUACAUCUCUCCCCCACUCCUCUGAGGGUCAGUCCUGUAGUCACAUCAAAUAGUACAUCUCUCCCCCACUUCUCUGAGGGUCAGUCCUGUAGUCACAUCAAAUAGUACAUCUCUCCCCCACUCCUCUGAGGGUCAGUCCUGUAGUCACAUCAAAUAGUACAUCUCUCCCCCACUCCUCUGAGGGUCAGUCCUGUAGUCACA